CCUACGGGUGGCAGCAGUGGGGGAUAUUGCACAAUGGGGGGAACCCUGAUGCAGCGACGCCGCGUGGGUGAAGAAGCGCCUCGGCGCGUAAAGCCCUGUCAGCAGGGAAGAAAAUGACGGUACCUGAAGAAGAAGCCACGGCUAACGACGUGCCAGCAGCGGCGGUAAUACGGAGGGGGCAAGCGUUAUCCGGAUUUACUGGGUGUAAAGGGGGCGCAGACGGCGAUGCAAGCCAGGCGUGAAAGCCGGGGGCCCAACCCCGGGACUGCUCUUGGAACUGCGUGGCUGGAGUGCAGGAGGGGCAGGCGGAAUUCCUGGUGUAGCGGUGAAAUGCGUAGAUAUCAGGAGGAACACCGGUGGCGAAGGCGGCCUGCUGGACUGCAACUGACGUUGAGGCCCGAAAGCGUGGGGAGCAAACAGGAUUAGAUACCCUUGUAGUC
RNAcentral lists this ribosomal RNA (440 nucleotides) under uncultured bacterium. Its description in RNAcentral is "partial 16S ribosomal RNA". It matches the Rfam family "Bacterial small subunit ribosomal RNA", at positions 338 to 795 of the family's 1533-position model. The record is from RNAcentral.